ACCGGCAGCCAUAUCACCCUGUAGCCCAAGACUGGUUGCCCACUGAAGCUAAGCAGGGCUGAGCUGGUCAGUACCUGGAUGGGAGACCUCCUGGGAAAACUAGGUUACUGCUGGAA
This 116-nucleotide ribosomal RNA is filed under the name Sinocyclocheilus anshuiensis. Lineage: Eukaryota; Metazoa; Chordata; Actinopteri; Cypriniformes; Cyprinidae. The record is from RNAcentral.